Molecule: ribosomal RNA, 304 nt
Filed under: uncultured bacterium
Lineage: Bacteria
Description: partial 16S ribosomal RNA
Rfam family: Bacterial small subunit ribosomal RNA
Source: RNAcentral
CAGCAGUAGCCACGGUGAGACAGAGGUCCCGAGCGUUGUUCGGAUUCAUUGGGCGUAAAGGGUGUGUAGGAGGUCAGGUAAGUCGUGUGUGAAAUCUCAGAGCUUAACUCUGAAACUGCGCUCGAUACUGCUUGGCUAGAGGAUCGGAGGGGGUAACGGAAUUCAUGGUGUAGCAGUGAAAUGCGUAGAUAUCAUGAGGAACACCGGUGGCGAAGGCGGUUACCUGGAAGAUUCCUGACUCUGAAACACGAAAGCCAGGGGAGCAAACGGGAUUAGAUACCCCAGUAGUCCCUGUCUCUUAUAC